Molecule: ribosomal RNA, 1079 nt
Filed under: Escherichia coli
Lineage: Bacteria; Pseudomonadati; Pseudomonadota; Gammaproteobacteria; Enterobacterales; Enterobacteriaceae
Description: partial 23S ribosomal RNA
Rfam family: Bacterial large subunit ribosomal RNA
Source: RNAcentral
AAUAUGGGGGGACCAUCCUCCAAGGCUAAAUACUCCUGACUGACCGAUAGUGAACCAGUACCGUGAGGGAAAGGCGAAAAGAACCCCGGCGAGGGGAGUGAAAAAGAACCUGAAACCGUGUACGUACAAGCAGUGGGAGCACGCUUAGGCGUGUGACUGCGUACCUUUUGUAUAAUGGGUCAGCGACUUAUAUUCUGUAGCAAGGUUAACCGAAUAGGGGAGCCGAAGGGAAACCGAGUCUUAACUGGGCGUUAAGUUGCAGGGUAUAGACCCGAAACCCGGUGAUCUAGCCAUGGGCAGGUUGAAGGUUGGGUAACACUAACUGGAGGACCGAACCGACUAAUGUUGAAAAAUUAGCGGAUGACUUGUGGCUGGGGGUGAAAGGCCAAUCAAACCGGGAGAUAGCUGGUUCUCCCCGAAAGCUAUUUAGGUAGCGCCUCGUGAAUUCAUCUCCGGGGGUAGAGCACUGUUUCGGCAAGGGGGUCAUCCCGACUUACCAACCCGAUGCAAACUGCGAAUACCGGAGAAUGUUAUCACGGGAGACACACGGCGGGUGCUAACGUCCGUCGUGAAGAGGGAAACAACCCAGACCGCCAGCUAAGGUCCCAAAGUCAUGGUUAAGUGGGAAACGAUGUGGGAAGGCCCAGACAGCCAGGAUGUUGGCUUAGAAGCAGCCAUCAUUUAAAGAAAGCGUAAUAGCUCACUGGUCGAGUCGGCCUGCGCGGAAGAUGUAACGGGGCUAAACCAUGCACCGAAGCUGCGGCAGCGACGCUGAUGCGUUGUUGGGUAGGGGAGCGUUCUGUAAGCCUGUGAAGGUGUGCUGUGAGGCAUGCUGGAGGUAUCAGAAGUGCGAAUGCUGACAUAAGUAACGAUAAAGCGGGUGAAAAGCCCGCUCGCCGGAAGACCAAGGGUUCCUGUCCAACGUUAAUCGGGGCAGGGUGAGUCGACCCCUAAGGCGAGGCCGAAAGGCGUAGUCGAUGGGAAACAGGUUAAUAUUCCUGUACUUGGUGUUACUGCGAAGGGGGGACGGAGAAGGCUAUGUUGGCCGGGCGACGGUUGUCCCGGUUUAAGCGUGUAGG